AAAAUCCGUCGACUUUAAAAAUCGUGAGGGUUCAAGUCCCUCUAUCCCCAAAAAAAAGCCUAUUUGACUCCCAAAAAAAUAUUUAACCUAUCCC
RNAcentral lists this transfer RNA (94 nucleotides) under Crescentia alata. RNAcentral's name for it is "partial tRNA-Leu". Lineage: Eukaryota; Viridiplantae; Streptophyta; Magnoliopsida; Lamiales; Bignoniaceae. The record is from RNAcentral.